This 756-nucleotide ribosomal RNA is filed under the name uncultured Bacteroides sp. Its description in RNAcentral is "bacterial SSU rRNA". It matches the Rfam family "Bacterial small subunit ribosomal RNA", at positions 28 to 776 of the family's 1533-position model. The record is from RNAcentral. Lineage: Bacteria; Pseudomonadati; Bacteroidota; Bacteroidia; Bacteroidales; Bacteroidaceae.
GAUGAACGCUAGCUACAGGCUUAACACAUGCAAGUCGAGGGGCAGCAUAUUUAUAGCAAUAUAGAUGAUGGCGACCGGCGCACGGGUGAGUAACACGUAUCCAACCUCCCUUUUACUCGGGGAUAGCCUUUCGAAAGAAAGAUUAAUGCCCGAUAGUAUAUGGUUUUCUCAUGAAGACCCUAUUAAAGAAUUUCGGUAAAAGAUGGGGAUGCGUUCCAUUAGGCAGUUGGCGGGGUAACGGCCCACCAAACCUACGAUGGAUAGGGGUUCUGAGAGGAAGGUCCCCCACAUUGGAACUGAGACACGGUCCAAACUCCUACGGGAGGCAGCAGUGAGGAAUAUUGGUCAAUGGGCGAGAGCCUGAACCAGCCAAGUAGCGUGAAGGAUGACUGCCCUAUGGGUUGUAAACUUCUUUUAUAAGGGAAUAAAGUGGAGUAUGUAUACUCCUUUGUAUGUACCUUAUGAAUAAGGAUCGGCUAACUCCGUGCCAGCAGCCGCGGUAAUACGGAGGAUCCGAGCGUUAUCCGGAUUUAUUGGGUUUAAAGGGAGCGUAGGCGGAUGUUUAAGUCAGUUGUGAAAGUUUAAGGCUCAACCUUGAAAUUGCAGUUGAUACUGGAUAUCUUGAGUACAUUGAAUGUGGGCGGAAUUCGUGGUGUAGCGGUGAAAUGCUUAGAUAUCACGAAGAACUCCAAUUGCGAAGGCAGCUCACAGUAAUGUAACUGACGCUGAUGCUCGAAAGUGUGGGUAUCAAACAGG